AGCAGCCGCGGUAAUUCCAGCUCCAAUAGCGUAUAUUAAAGUUGUUGCAGUUAAAAAGCUCGUAGUUGAAUUUCGGGAUCAAUAUAUCGGUCGUGCCUUGGUACGUACUGGUAUCAUUGGUUUCUCCUUUCUGACGAACCAUGAUGUCAUUAAUUUGGUGUUAUGGGAAGUUAGGACUGUUACUUUGAAAAAAAUUAGAGUGUUUAAGGCAGGCUUUGGCUUGAAUACAUUAGCAUGGAAUAAUGAAAUAGGACGUUCGAACCUAUUUUGUUGGUUUCUAGGAUCAACGUAAUGAUUAAUAGGGAUAGUUGGGGGCAUUAGUAUUCAAUUGUCAGAGGUGAAAUUCUUGGAUUUAUUGAAGGCUAACUACUGCGAAAGCAUUUGCCAAGGACGUUUUCAUUAAUCAAGAACGAAAGUUAGGGGGAUCGAAGACGAUCAGAUACCGUCGUAGUCUUAACCAUAAACUAUGCCGACUAGGGAUCGGAUGAUGUUAAUUUUUUAAUGACUCAGUUCGCGCCUU
Molecule: ribosomal RNA, 520 nt
Filed under: uncultured Glomus
Lineage: Eukaryota; Fungi; Glomeromycota; Glomeromycetes; Glomerales; Glomeraceae
Description: SSU rRNA
Rfam family: Eukaryotic small subunit ribosomal RNA
Source: RNAcentral